Molecule: ribosomal RNA, 707 nt
Filed under: uncultured bacterium
Lineage: Bacteria
Description: bacterial SSU rRNA
Rfam family: Bacterial small subunit ribosomal RNA
Source: RNAcentral
CUAAUACAUGCAAGUCGAGCGCGGGAAGCAGACUGAAGCCUUCGGGCGGACGUCUGUGGAACGAGCGGCGGAUGGGUGAGUAACACGUGGGCAACCUGCCUGUAAGCUCGGGAUAACUAGCGGAAACGCUAGCUAAUACCGAAUAACGCUGCGCACCGCAUGGCGCGCAGAUGAAAGGCGGCGCAAGCUGCCACUUACAGAUGGGCCCGCGGCGCAUUAGCUAGUUGGUGGGGUAACGGCCUACCAAGGCGACGAUGCGUNGCCGACCUGAGAGGGUGAUCGGCCACACUGGGACUGAGACACGGCCCAGACUCCUACGGGAGGCAGCAGUAGGGAAUAUUCCGCAAUGGGCGAAAGCCUGACGGAGCGACGCCGCGUGAGCGAUGAAGGUCUUCGGAUCGUAAAGCUCUGUUGUUAGGGAAGAACAAGUACCGGAGUAACUGCCGGUACCUUGACGGUACCUAACCAGAAAGCCCCGGCUAACUACGUGCCAGCAGCCGCGGUAAUACGUAGGGGGCGAGCGUUGUCCGGAAUUAUUGGGCGUAAAGGGCGCGUAGGCGGUCUCUUAAGUCUGAUGUGAAAGCCCCCGGCUUAACCGGGGAGGGUCAUUGGAAACUGGGGGACUUGAGUGCGGAAGAGGAGAGUGGAAUUCCAUGUGUAGCGGUGAAAUGCGUAGAGAUAUGGAGGAACACCAGUGGCGAAGGCGA